Molecule: ribosomal RNA, 303 nt
Filed under: uncultured bacterium
Lineage: Bacteria
Description: partial 16S ribosomal RNA
Rfam family: Bacterial small subunit ribosomal RNA
Source: RNAcentral
AGCAGUCGCCACGGUAAUACGGAGGGGGCUAGCGUUGUUCGGAAUUACUGGGCGUAAAGCGCACGUAGGCGGCUUUGUAAGUUAGAGGUGAAAUCCCCGGGCUCAACCUGGGACCUGCAUUUGUGACUGUAUAGCUAGAGUACGGUAGAGGGGGAUGGAAUUCCGCGUGUAGCAGUGAAAUGCGUAGAUAUGCGGAGGAACACCGAUGGCGAAGGCAGGUCUCUGGGCAUUAACUGACGCUGAGGAGCGAAAGCAUGGGGAGCGAACAGGAUUAGAUACCCCUGUAGUCCCUGUCUCUUAUAC